CAUGACUUGGGGUGCUUUAGUACCUAUUCUCUCUACAGUUUGGAAUCUCUUGACCUUCAUUUAACGCAAGAAAAUGACGCACAAAUAAUAUGUACUUUACAAGUGACAGCAGCUUUGAGAUAAUGCAGAAUAUUCAAAGUUUUGAGGCUGAACAAUUCUGAUGUGUCUUUUUGUAGAAGCUAACCAUCUCGUACCCCAAUGGUGUUUGCAGGCCUAGCGGGUCCAACUGUUCUGGCGACCGUGAUGGGUCGUGAUGAAUCUGAGGGGCUGCUGGCACAGGGGAAUGCGGGUUUAGAUCUGCCACGGUUAGAGGAGAGCCCCCAUGGUUCGCGGUCACAGAUCUUCGAGGCCAAAAACGACGACGAGGAAUCAUCUCAGCAGCAGUCUGACCCUUCCUUCACGGUCACCGCUGUCUGAUUGCCAUCCACCACGUGUGUGUGUGUGUGUCUGUGCCAGCCGUCACCACGGCCAUCGAACAAAGGAACAAAAGAAGGAAAAGAAACAUUCAGUGCACAGAAGAGUCCUUCCCACAACUAAGCCACGUUUUGAAUCACUCCAUCGUCGUAAAGCAUUACACCAGAAGGUCCAUUUGCUCACACCAUUCACCAAUAACACUGCAGUCCUUGCCGACUUCAGCAGUAUGCAUUCGCUGUGUCUUUUAGCGCAGCGCGUGAAGCUCCCCUUUUUCGUCCACUAGCACCCCAACAAUAUUUACAUUCUCAGGGUGCUUCAUUCAUUUGUUUGGGCUGCAACAAUAAUUGCCAUUGCUUGAAAACAUCAAUCAAUGUUAAGCAGUCUUGAUUGCUUUCAUUUCAGUAAUGUUGCCUGCAUGUGUGAGUGUUGCUGAGAGGAGAGGGGCCAUCACAAGAUGCUUUAUAAGGAAGGUGCACACAACUAGAAGGAGCUCGAUAGGGUACACCUCAGUAUGUCAAAGAACGUUCAGAACGUGGGCGGAGCACUGACACAGUUGCACAUUGCGGAAAGACGUCUCUGGAUAGUUGAUUGCGCCGCAGUGGUGUGCUGCCGUAGAAGCCAAUACUUCGGUUUUACUUCGGCGAUGGAAGUUUUAGUAACCUAUCUUUAUCUUCCUCUCCCUAUUACAGGUUUUACUUGUACAUUUCUUAAUUUUUCAUCAUUUAUGAAACCAAGAUCAUUUCUUCCACUUAAAAGCUUACUUAAGAUCACACAAGGUCAUAUCCGCAAAUUCUAGUUGAUAUUUUCAAGCGAUGUAUAUUUUAAAAUUUCUCUCUAGCUUUUCCACGCUUUCCCCAAUUUGGGCCUCAUUUUUACUACCAUCAUACACCUCUCACUGUGCUCUAACCGAAUUAAGGCUUAAUUUCUCUCAUUAAAGCUGAGCACUCGUUACACAAAAUGCAAAGUUUCAUCUUAAAGUCGACUUAACUUCUCCUUGCAUCGCCACACAGUUCACGCGUGUAAUGCGCAAACAUUACAUUAACCCAUUUAACGAAUCUGAAUGCAUUAGCAUCAAGUGGGCAUCAUAUGCAUUCACAAUAGUACGUCAUUGUUCGGCCACCUAGUGUUGUUGCUACAGUGGAACAUCUGUGCGAGCGACUGUGUCAAUGUUCCUUCUGGAUGGAUGUCUGUGUCAUCUACUAACCUCUUGGUCACGAAGCAAAAAAGAAACGUAGACUUAACACUCGACUUUAUACCAACUACCACAGUCACGACUUGAGUCAAGAGGUAAGCCGGGUGCGUUGUCGUGGGCAACACAACUUGCCACUGCGGGGCCACCACUUUAGUGCUCACUUUCGCGCACGCUUUACACAAAUCAGCAUCGACACUUUCCACUACCUUUAAGCAUAUUGUCAUCAGUGAUCGUUGUUUGUUGGCAGUCGUGUGCGUCCACUUUGAAAGUUGUCGCUAGGCGCCGAAAACGUCUCCAUGUUCCUCAUUACCUUUGGGCACAUUUUGUCACAAGUUUGCGCAUGUAAGACCUUGCGCAUGCCAUGCGCCUACGUAUGCAAUCCUUCAGUCAAAGCGGUUGUCAUCAACUUCUGUGUGGUUUGAAACGACUCUCAUUUGUUCAAAUCCCAAGAAGCAGUCGGUUUCGAUUAAUUUCAGUUUGACAAACUUUCCAUUCUGACACUGAUGCUGCUUCAAGGAGCGCGGUUGUAGGCUGUACAGGUUGUUGGCCACGUUUUCCUCUGUGGUUCUUGAACAAAUGGGAUUAUUGAAAGCGGGUGUCCCAUAUUACUUUAUGUAAGGAGGUUUGUUGGGUUGUUUUUCAUUCCCCAAAAGUCGCCCGCUGCGUCUCUGACAACCAUUUUGACUGGAAGCAAUUUUGACGUCUCCUUGAUACCCUAUGUGGGGCCCAUCUCGUCACAGUGCAAGUUAGCUUUGUUGUAUUUAUUAUGCUGCCGUGUUAUUUAUUUAAGGCAUCUGCAAACGACAGAUGCCCAUUGUAUUCACAUUGUUCUCGCUGAUUUUACCAUGUACUGUGAUGCUUUUAAAAAAAUAUGUGACGACAUCCCACGUAGUGCCACUUGCUCUGCGGUAUGCGAGGUUUCAAAGAGGCGUAGUUGAGCGUUUUUAUUUACGCUUCAAGCUUUUACUUGCUGCCAAUCGACGUAACAUUGGCUUCGACUGUACGCUAGAGGAACUACCCGUUGUGUUCUGUGGUUAGCUGUGCGAGGAACUGUUUCAAUGUUUAAAUUUUUCUCAGCUCAGGGAGGGCAUUGUUUGCUGCUAUCCAGUAUGGCCCACUCAUAGGGGGAACACUAAGUCUAUGCCAUUAUCUUCCCACAAAAAAAGAGUUGCAUAUGCACUCUGGUAACGUAUACUCUGCUGUGCUUUCCAUAUAAUUUUAACUGAGUUUAUGUGAAUUUCACAUAAACAGAGCUUAAUUUGUUUGAAUUGUAUAGAACAUGUCAACAUUAUUAGACUGCAUUUGUAGCACUGAAGUAGAGAGAUCAUAGCAUGGAGGCAUGAAGGCUGUUUUGCUAAUGUGUUCCAUCAACCUUUUCUUUAACUGAAGCGGAAAUGUUCCAUUUAUUGUUAUAUUGUUAUCAACUGGGUGUUCCACUUAAACAUUGGUCCAUAUUGUACCAGGAUACUGCUUUGCACGUUUGAGUAACUGUGCAUUUGUCUUCCAGAAGUUGGAAGCACGUGUGUUUUGUGUGUUAUGCGACCAUUAUUUUAAAACAUGGCUGUUUUAAUGUCUCGUUGUUCCCCAGCCAUAGUACGGAAAGGGAUAAGUUGAGUUCAAGGACGUGUUUUUAGGUAGAGUAUCUCUUUGACGGUUUUAGCUGCCACCUUUACCGUGUUUUAGUGGGCGUAUUUAUGUUUCGGACCACAACAACCCCAAGCAAUGUGUGUGUUUUUUUUUUGAAGUCUGAACAUUCAUACAGUGUACGUAUGUGUGUGAUCACCUGUGCAAUGUUGGUGGGCUGCCAACUGUCCCACUUUUUUUUUUUUUUUGACGUGAACAAUCCUUUUACGGCUGCUGUGGCUCAGCGGGAAAAAAUGUCUAGUCAUGUUAUGGAUGCAACAGCAUUUUAAAACUUUUUUUACAACGAUCAAUAAACAUUGAUUGACAAUGAA
Rhipicephalus sanguineus (brown dog tick) is the source of this 3561-nucleotide long non-coding RNA. RefSeq lists it as uncharacterized. Lineage: Eukaryota; Metazoa; Arthropoda; Arachnida; Ixodida; Ixodidae. The transcript has 2 exons. The record is from RefSeq and is a predicted model, not a curated record.